This is an RNA transcript of Arachis duranensis, 1841 nucleotides long. RefSeq lists it as uncharacterized. The record is from RefSeq and is a predicted model, not a curated record. The transcript has 4 exons. NCBI's taxonomy places the organism in Eukaryota, Viridiplantae, Streptophyta, Magnoliopsida, Fabales, Fabaceae.
GAAUGCAGGAAGAAGAAAAGAGAGAGGGAGGAGUCAUGCCCUGUUGUUGCCGCCGCAACGCCACUGCGCCGUCGCCACCAUUCCAUGGAGCCGAGCCCGUGUCGCCGUCUCAAAUGAAGAGGAUGCCGCCAGCUCUGUCGCGACUGGUUGCUACCGAGCUCGCCGUCGGAGACCGCGUUGCUUCACCGCUGCUGCAUCGCCGUUGAUGAAGCUUCUGCCGCCAUUGUGAACCGCAAACAGAGGAGAGGAAAAGAGAUGAGUUCACGAGCGAGAAGAGGAAGCGGCGCUGCCUUUCCAUCGCCGCUGCUACCAAGGUCUGUGGAGGAGAGCAUCGUUGUGGGUGGCAUCCACCGUCCGAGCUGCCAGUAGAAGGAUCCACCGCCGCUGAACCCUAGCUAUCACUGCCGUUGGAGUCACCGUGGUUGCCGCUGGCGAAGUGUUUCUGAACGCCGCUGCUACUGAACCACCUUAGUCACUACUUCGGUCCCAUUCAACCACCACAGCCUCCUCUGUUCUUGUCUUCGUAUCAACACUGCCCUUUUCCAGUUUCAAUCCCAAUUCUGCUAUUUCUGAAUAUUUCUGCCAAGGUAUGUUUGAAAAAUUAAAAUUGGUGAUGCUGCCACCGUUUCGGUCACGUUGGAAUCACCGCUGCUGCCAUGAAACAAAAAGGAAAGGGAGUUACCAUGUUUAACCUAUGUGAAUUCAGCUUGUCGAGGUGGGAGGGUGCCUCAUUUAACUAAUUCUGAAAAAGAAAGGCGAAAAAGGUGGCAUCAAUUUAGGGGUAGUGAAGGAAACUGGUGGGGUAUUGCUCACUCCAGUGCCCGACCUCAUCCUUCUCAAAAAAGGAAAAGAGUUGAGCCCGAGAAGUCACUAGAGGUGCUUUCCGAAGAGGACAAGGUCGAUAGGUUAGUGUUAGAAAAGUAGAAAAAACUUCAUGGAUUUAUAGAAGAGGUGAAUUCUCAAUCCCUUUGGAGUGAUCAAUAUCCCAUUUCUGAGCUUGAUGAUAGGGUUUUCCAGUAUCCCAGGGAUAUGAGGUUGACUCGCCUUUUGGGUAUGGAAGGGAUGGGAAGUUUAUCCAGAUUGUGGCUUCUCCUUUGUUGUGUAUUGGUCAUGCUACUGAGCUGCUAGGUGCAGAACAGCAUGAUGUUACUGAAAGGGUUGUGAAUUUGGAGUGGUCUGUGAAAGAAAAGGAGAAUGUGAUCAUCGAUGUGACCUCUAAGAUAAAGGAUAGGGAGGAGGAGGUUGCUAAGCUUCAAGAUCAGAUCUGUCUUCUGCAAAAUGAAAUUAAGGAAAAUGACAAGGUCAAGGGUAAGAUGACCUCCUAUAUUCACGAGUUAGAAAAUGAGGUUUUGGAGAUGUUUGCUGCCAAUUUCGACCGAGCUGUGAGCUAGGUAGAUGUAUUUACGCCCGAGUUCGAUGUUGGGAGACUUGAUGUGAUGAAGAUUGUAAUGGAUGGCGAGCUUGUUGAAGAUGAGGCGGGUGAGGAGCAUGAUGAGAAUGUUCCUCCCCCCUCUCAUAAAGAUUAAUAAGUUUGUGAAUACUUUUGAUAAUUUGUAUUUUGAAACUUUGAUUUGAUGACCGAUCUAGCGUCGGUGUGUUUGUUUGAACUAAUUUCUGACAUAUGAUGUUGGGUUAAACUUGAAAUAUUUGAAAGCUUAUUAUUGUAUGUUGCUUAGAUGUUGUAUCCAACUUUUCGAUUUGCGUUGGUUUGGAUGAAAUGAUUUAGUAGAUAGAACAGUGUAGUGAAUAGAAAGGAAAGAAUAUGUUUCAUUCGGGAUAUGGAAAAAACCUUCAGUUUGAAUGGCGUGGAGUAGUUGGCCUCGUUAAAAACUGUCAAAGUA